This is a long non-coding RNA of Camelina sativa (false flax), 718 nucleotides long. RefSeq lists it as uncharacterized. The record is from RefSeq and is a predicted model, not a curated record. Lineage: Eukaryota; Viridiplantae; Streptophyta; Magnoliopsida; Brassicales; Brassicaceae.
CCUCUUUCUCUCUCAGCCUCUCAGGCGAUAAUCGAUUCUAAGUUUCUCUCUCAGGCGAUAAUCAAUUUCAAAUCAUCAUUCAUCUCGUCAAUCGUCAUCAAGCAUCUCCACUGCGGCUCUGCUUCUCGUGAUCUGAAGCUUGGAGCUUCAAUCAGAUCUGAAGCUCUACUUUGCGAACUUUUGAAAAGAUGGACAAAUCACUGAGCUUGUGUGAUGAUAACUACAUCGUGAGUGAUACUGAAUGGGAUCGACAUAUGCUGGAAGAAGAAAACAAUCUGGUGGAAGAUGAAAACAAUCCGGUGAAAGAUGAAAACAAUCCGGUGGAAGAUGAAUCUCUCAUGGGUGAAUCAUCUCAUGCUCAAGUGAAAAGAGAAGAGCCAGACGAUGAGUCAAAACUCUGUCUUUGAUCCUACCCUUCAAGAAAUUAUUAAAGAGAUUAGACCUACGCGAGCAGAUUGGGAUGCGAGGAUCCAAGUGAUUAAUCGGUUGUGUGGCGUCGUACAAUAUGUAGACUGUUUAAGAGGUGAGGUGUUGAUGCACACUUUUAUGCUUCUUCUAAUUUAUAUCAUUUUUCAUGGGUAUCUGUGUGAUUAUUGUGAUAAUGGGAAAUGAAAAUGAGAUAGUUCAGUUAAGGUAAUCUCAUUCACUAUUGUGAUAAUGGGAAAUGAAAAUGAGAUAGCUAAAUUUGUUCAAUGCUGUUAAUCUUUCCCAUUCACUA